Molecule: long non-coding RNA, 2591 nt
Filed under: Lathyrus oleraceus (garden pea)
Lineage: Eukaryota; Viridiplantae; Streptophyta; Magnoliopsida; Fabales; Fabaceae
Description: Pisum sativum (pea) long non-coding RNA (PSAT_LNC009754)
Source: RNAcentral
GAAGAUGAAGUUGCUUCGCGCGCUUUCGUACAAAAUUCAAAUCUCCUGGCCAAUCAGGACGUGCCACAUAACUAGCCGUUGCAUUUGAAUAAUUUUAUUUUUCUUUUUAUUCAUUUAAUUUCCUUUUCUUCCAAAAUUAAUAUUAAAUAGCUCCUUUAUUAUUUUUUAGUCCAACUUUUUUCCAUAAUUUCAUAAAAAUAUUUUCUAUCACAAACCAUUUUUGCAUAAUUUUGAAAAUCAUUUUUUCAUUUAAUUAAUAUUUUCUCUUAUUUUUCAUUUCAUUUUAUUUCCACAUUUUUAUUGUAUUCACUUUAAAACAUUUUUCGCCCUAAAUUUUGAGGUCAAGUCACCCUAUAUUUUGUUGAACUUCUCCAUUUUUCUUGAAUUUUAUUUUAUGAUUUGCUACCUAUUUUACAUUUUCUCUUUCAUUUUAUUUUAUUAAUCAUUACUAAUUCAUGCUUAAUCUUUUUUGUUUUCUUUUUUAUGAUCACUUGAGGUUAAUUCAACCGUCUUUGAUCCAAAACUGUUGAUAGAUGAUCAUGAAUCAUCUUCAAUACUUUGCUUCAGUGAUAGGUUAAACCUCGAUUUUUGAUAUUUUGAGUCAUUUGGUUUGUGGAUAGAAUGAUCCCUCUGUGAUUGUCUUGAUUCUUCUUUUCACUCUUUCAAUCUUCAUCUCCUCUCUUAUUUUUAAUCAUUGUGUUACAUGUGUUAGGAGAUUAAAUUUGUGAUAAUUCUCUAGUAUGUCUGACGCAUACAUUAUUAUUGACUGACCUGAAAUAGAUAUAACUUCUACGUAAGCAUACUUACGAUUUCCUAACAUAACGCUAAAUUGACCCGACACAAUUAAUUGACCAUUAAAUCCUAACAUUACUUCUCUGUCUUUACAUUAUUUCCAUUUAAUUCUUGUCAUUUAAUUCAAGUCAUUUAGUUUAUGUGAUUUAAUUUUAUGUCAUAUACUUAAUGCAAUUUAAUUCCAGGUCCAUUAAUCAUCAUUUCAUUUCAUACUCUACUAAUCUCGCCUUAUUCAUUUGUUGCUACAUAUCUUGUUUGACUGCUCUACUUGUUAAUCUUAAUGAAUCAAAACUUCAUAAAGUAACUUAGACCUAAUCUUAACCCUAUGCUUGACUUGGAGUGUUGAAAACCUCUUUUGGACUUUAGACUUUAACUUAGGAUUUAGGCCCUUUUCUUAACUCAUAGUAACCUUCGGCCCAUGGACCUUGUAUACAUUUUAACUCGGUUUUGUUUCUGUUAAGACUCUAAGCUUGUGUUUUGGGACCACUUAUCAUGCACGGAAAAUUGUUUCCCAUAACCCAACACAUCGGACCAUGACAUGAAACGACUUAUAAAGCUCUAAAAUCACGAGUUUCACACCAAAUUUUCACACGGAUCUGAAAUUAGCCAAGUUGAUUUACACGAAUUUAGAUCUAUUUCACACGUAUUUGAAAACCAACGAAUUCCCUAUAUAUAGAGGAAACUUUUUGCCUUCAUUUUCAAGCUUUGAAAUUCAAAGAAACUCUGAAACCAUUGAUGCCCGAUACCUCAAAUAACCAGUCAUUCUCUUUUUUGAUUUAAGUUGUUUUGCUUCUGUUUCUUUGCCCAUAAUCCUUCAUCGACACCCUCUAAAGCUAACUGAAGAACUACUUUGGCUUGAAGCUUUGUGGAACCUUGCAUCCAGAUCCGCCGUUGUUGACUUUUGAUGCUCCAAUCGAAAAGGUAGAUACGAGUUACAACUUCAAGCAAACAAGUUACGACACUCUUCGCCUUGCUCCACUGAUCAAAAGCCCUCACUUACUUAGAAUUUAUUUCCAGUAUUCAUCAUUUAAUUUUACUUUGAAGAACUAGGGUUCUUCGAGUUCCUGAGCAAAUUCUCUCUACUCAAAGCAAAUCAAUUAUUCUGAUGCAGGGAGACAUGAACGAUGAGAUAUUUUACAACUGAAUCCAUGCUUGAUUCGUGUUAAAAACAAGAGUUCAUGAAGUUACAAAAUCAAAAUCUGGAGGUUGAAGAUGAAGUUGUUUCGCGCGCUUCCAUGCAAAAUACAAAUCUCCUGGCCAAUCAGGACGCGCCACACAGCUAGCCGUUGCAUUUGAAUUAUUUUAUUUUUCUUUUUAUUCAUUUAAUUUCCUUUUCUUCCAAAAUUAUUUUUAAAUAGCUCCUUUAUUAUUUUUUAGUCCAACUUUUUUCCAUAAUUUCAUAAAUAUAUUUUCUAUCACAAACCAUUUUUGCAUAAUUUUGAAAAUCAUUUUUUCAUUUAAUUAAUAUUUUCUCUUAUUUUUCAUUUCAUUUUAUUUCCACAUUUUUGUUUUAUUCACUUUAAAACAUUUUUCACCCUAAAUUUUGAGGUCAAGCCACCCUAUAUUUUGUUGAACUUAUCCAUUUUUCUUGAAUUUUAUUUUAUGAUUUGAUACCUAUUUUACAUUUUCUCUUUCAUUUUAUUUUAUUAAUCAUUACUUAUUCAUGCUUAAUCUUUUUUGUUUUCUUUUUUAUGAUCACUUGAGGUUAAUUCAACCGUCUUUGAUCCAAAACUGUUGAUAGAUGAUCAUGAAUCAUCUUCAAUACUUUGCAUCAGUGAUAGGUUAGACCUCGAUUUUUG